This is a long non-coding RNA of Rhincodon typus (whale shark), 965 nucleotides long. RefSeq lists it as uncharacterized. NCBI's taxonomy places the organism in Eukaryota, Metazoa, Chordata, Chondrichthyes, Orectolobiformes, Rhincodontidae. The record is from RefSeq and is a predicted model, not a curated record. The transcript has 3 exons.
UUUGUAUGAGUGACCACCACUCAGUCCUUGUGAAGGUGAUGUCUGAUCUUCAUUGAGGACACCAUGUUGUGUGGUACUACACUUUGUGAAAUGGAACAGAUUCAUAACAGACCUAGCUUCAUCGAAUGGGAGUUAUGAGGUAUCGUGCUACAGUCAUUGUGUUCACCUACGAUCUGUAAUCUCAUGGACAGCCAUUUCCUUCAUUCUGUCAUUACCAUCAAGUCAAAGCCUCAUUCUACAUUCAAUAAAGAGUGUAGGAGGGCAAUCCUGGAGCCAAACUAAAGAAACCCAUGACUGAGAUGCCAACCUAGUGAAGCUACGACACAGGAACUAUGUGCAUGCUAAGCAGCAGAACCUAAAUGCACCCAUAAGAAAUGAAUCAGGUUAAAGCUCUUGAAUCUUAGCACAUCCAAUGAUGAAUGGCAGUGCACUAAUUAAACAACUACUGGAGGAGAAAGCUCUAUUAACAUCCCUAUCUCGAUGAUGGGGUAGCCCAGGACAUCAGAGCAAAAGAUGAGGCUGAAGUAUUUAUAACUACCUUCAGCCAGAAGUGCCCAAGUGGACGAUUCAAUUCUGCCUCCAUCUAAUAUCCUCAACCUGCAAGAUGCCAAUCCUCAACCAAUUCAAUUUACUCCAUAUUGUAUCAAAAAAUUGCUCAAUGAACUGGAUGCAAUAAAGACUGUGGGUUCUGACAGCAUUGUGACUGUAGCACUGGAGGCUUGUGUUCCAAAACUAGCUGCAUUCCUACCCAAGAUGUUCUAAUACUACUACACAGCUGGCAACUGCUAGAUGAAGCAGAAAAUUUCCCAGCUUCUCCCUUCCUUCAUGCCAUAUUCAAUACUCCUCACGGUGAACCCUGGAAACCAGACCUUCUCAGCAGAGGAAUGAAUGCUGCAGAAAAAUAAAAUCCAUUGUGGUAUGGAAGAUGCUGCCAGACGUCAGAGGAAUUUUGGGUCGGGACCCGU